UACGUAGGGGGCUAGCGUUGUCCGGAAUCAUUGGGCGUAAAGCGCGCGUAGGCGGCCCGGUAAGUCCGCUGUAAAAGUCAAAGGCUCAACCUUUGAAUGUCAGUGGAUACUGCCGGGCUAGAGUCCGGAAGAGGCGAGUGGAACUCCUGGUGUAGCGGUGAAAUGCGUAGAUAUCGAGAGGAACACCUGCGGCGAAGGCGGGUUGCUGGGCUGACACUGACGCUGAAGCGCGAAAGCUAGGGGAGCGAACGGG
Molecule: ribosomal RNA, 253 nt
Filed under: uncultured bacterium
Lineage: Bacteria
Description: partial 16S ribosomal RNA
Rfam family: Bacterial small subunit ribosomal RNA
Source: RNAcentral